This 479-nucleotide ribosomal RNA is filed under the name uncultured bacterium. RNAcentral describes it as "bacterial SSU rRNA". It matches the Rfam family "Bacterial small subunit ribosomal RNA", at positions 28 to 502 of the family's 1533-position model. The record is from RNAcentral.
GAUGAACGCUAGCGGCAGGCUUAACACAUGCAAGUCGAGGGGCAGCACGGGUAGCAAUACCUGGUGGCGACCGGCGCAAGGGUGCGUAACGCGUGAGCAACAUGCCCUAUACAGGGGGAUAAUCCAGGGAAACUUGGUCUAAUAUCCCAUAGUAUUUAGAGGAGGCAUCUUCUAUAAAUUAAAGCUUCGGUGGUAUAGGAUUGGCUCGCGUGACAUUAGCUGGAUGGUGGGGUAACGGCUCACCAUGGCGAUGAUGUCUAGGGGUUCUGAGAGGAAGACCCCCCAACUGGGACUGAGACACGGCCCAGACUCCUACGGGAGGCAGCAGUGAGGAAUAUUGGACAAUGGAUGGAAAUCUGAUCCAGCCAUGCCGCGUGCAGGAAGACGGCCCUAUGGGUUGUAAACUGCUUUUAUAUGGGAUCGAAUAAGGUUUACGCGUAGACCGAUGAGAGUACCAUAUGAAUAAGCAUCGGCUAACU